CUUUGCCAGUCGUGACGGCCUAUAGCUAGAUCUUCACAAUUUGACUCCUGCAAUCGGCCUUGUUGUGACUUCUCGGUGAAGACGAGCUCUAUAGUCAACUACAUAAGAUGUUGAAGACUCUCAUCAUACUUUCCCUCGUCUUAUGGGUGGAGGCUGUUCAGAUGCAGCCAGCAUUCCGGGAUUCGU
Long non-coding RNA from Branchiostoma belcheri (Belcher's lancelet), 186 nucleotides. RefSeq lists it as uncharacterized. The record is from RefSeq and is a predicted model, not a curated record. Lineage: Eukaryota; Metazoa; Chordata; Leptocardii; Amphioxiformes; Branchiostomatidae. The transcript is spliced from 3 exons.